UACGGAGGGAGCUAGCGUUGUUCGGAAUUACUGGGCGUAAAGCGUGCGCAGGCGGUUGUGCAAGACCGAUGUGAAAUCCCCGGGCUUAACCUGGGAAUGGCAUUGGUGACUGCACGGCUAGAGUGUGUCAGAGGGGGGUAGAAUUCCACGUGUAGCAGUGAAAUGCGUAGAGAUGUGGAGGAAUACCGAUGGCGAAGGCAGCCCCCUGGGAUAACACUGACGCUCAUGCACGAAAGCGUGGGGAGCAAACAGG
RNAcentral lists this ribosomal RNA (253 nucleotides) under uncultured bacterium. RNAcentral describes it as "partial 16S ribosomal RNA". It matches the Rfam family "Bacterial small subunit ribosomal RNA", at positions 524 to 776 of the family's 1533-position model. The record is from RNAcentral.